This 108-nucleotide ribosomal RNA is filed under the name Myotis davidii. The record is from RNAcentral. Lineage: Eukaryota; Metazoa; Chordata; Mammalia; Chiroptera; Vespertilionidae.
GUCUACGGCCAUACCACCCUGAACGCGCCCGAUCUCGUCUGAUCUCGGAAGCUAAACAGGGUCGGGCCUGGUUAGUACUUGGAUGGGAGAAUAGAGGACUCAUUCACA